ACGGGCGGGGCGAGCGCUGUUCGGAUUCAUUGGGUGUAAAGCGUGCGUAGGCGGCUUUUUAAGUCGGAUGUGAAAUCCCUGAGCUUAACUUUGGAAUUGCAUUCGAUACUGGGAAGCUAGAGUAUGGGAGAGGAUGGUAGAACUCCAGGUGUAGCGGUGAAAUGCGUAGAGAUCUGGAGGAAUACCGAUGGCGAAGGCAGCCAUCUGGCCUAAUACUGACGCUGAGGUACGAAAGCGUGGGGAGCAAACAG
Molecule: ribosomal RNA, 251 nt
Filed under: uncultured prokaryote
Description: partial 16S ribosomal RNA
Rfam family: Bacterial small subunit ribosomal RNA
Source: RNAcentral